Sapajus apella (tufted capuchin) is the source of this 800-nucleotide long non-coding RNA. RefSeq lists it as uncharacterized. NCBI's taxonomy places the organism in Eukaryota, Metazoa, Chordata, Mammalia, Primates, Cebidae. The record is from RefSeq and is a predicted model, not a curated record. The transcript has 3 exons.
CUCUGGUGUCCCUUGAGCCAGGCUCUUACAUUGGCCAUGGUCCUCCCUGCAAACACGGGGCUCAGCGCCCUGGCUGUUUGAUCUCAACGGUUCUGAAAAGCACCUCCCUGCCUUUUCUAUUUGCUAGCUCGAGCCUGAAAUCCAACCACUGGCUUAAGGCAGCAUGGCAAACAGUUUUCUUAUCAAGGUCUCUGUGAGAAGAAUUGCAAUGCCUGGUCUGGGCUGAGCCAAAGAGUGGUGACCCUGCCAUGUCCUGCCAGGAGAGAGACCAGGCGUCUUGACCUUGGCGACCUCAGUGUCUAGUGGUCACUGCUUGCUGACCCACUCUGCGGAAGACAGCAGAACUACCUUCUUGGCUGUAUCAUUCUCUGUGGUGGGACAGGAUGAUUCUGUCCUAUCUACAAUUCUGUGCAUCGCAGCAUGUUUAGCAGCAUCCCUGGCUUCCAUCUGUUAGAUGCCAGUAGCACUUCCUCUUGAGCCUUCAUGACCAAAACUAUCUCCAAAUAUUGCCAAGUGACUUCUGGGGGGCAAAGUCACCACUGCUGAAAAGACUGGGUCAAGGCAUUGUCACCACUGAAAAUGCAAACACUCUGGAGAAGGACGACCCUCAACAGUUAUGCACUUCUGGGUGUUUGCCAGACCCUUUCCAAGAGCACUAGUCAGUUAAGAGCAGAGUGGGAAAGAAGAGACAAAGAAAGAGGAUUUAGAAGAAUCCAUUCCUGGCUGGGUGGAGUGACUCACGCACUUUGCACUUUGGGAGGCUGAGGUAGGCGAAUGACUUGAGGCCAGGAAUUCAAAAA